GCAGUCGUGGCCGAGUGGUUAAGGCGUCUGACUUGAAAUCAGAUUCCCUCUGGGAGCGUAGGUUCGAGUCCUACCGACUGCG
RNAcentral lists this transfer RNA (82 nucleotides) under Schistocerca americana (American grasshopper). Its description in RNAcentral is "tRNA-Ser". It matches the Rfam family "tRNA". From Rfam's summary of the family: Transfer RNA (tRNA) molecules are approximately 80 nucleotides in length. Their secondary structure includes four short double-helical elements and three loops (D, anti-codon, and T loops). Lineage: Eukaryota; Metazoa; Arthropoda; Insecta; Orthoptera; Acrididae. RNAcentral also lists the same sequence under 2 other names. The record is from RNAcentral.